ACGUAGGGUGCGAGCGUUAAUCGGAAUUACUGGGCGUAAAGCGUGCGCAGGCGGUUGUGUAAGACAGGUGUGAAAUCCCCGGGCUUAACCUGGGAACUGCGCUUGUGACUGCACGGCUAGAGUAUGGCAGAGGGGGGUGGAAUUCCACGUGUAGCAGUGAAAUGCGUAGAGAUGUGGAGGAACACCGAUGGCGAAGGCAGCCCCCUGGGCCAAUACUGACGCUCAUGCACGAAAGCGUGGGGAGCAAACAGG
RNAcentral lists this ribosomal RNA (252 nucleotides) under uncultured bacterium. RNAcentral describes it as "partial 16S ribosomal RNA". It matches the Rfam family "Bacterial small subunit ribosomal RNA", at positions 525 to 776 of the family's 1533-position model. The record is from RNAcentral.